GAAAGAUUAGUUUAAUAAAACACUAAUUCGUCAUAUUAGAGAAGAAUAAUUUCAUCUUUUU
Molecule: transfer RNA, 61 nt
Filed under: Cyphonia clavata
Lineage: Eukaryota; Metazoa; Arthropoda; Insecta; Hemiptera; Membracidae
Description: tRNA-Asp
Source: RNAcentral